AAAGACAGUAUGCAGAGAUGAGUUCUAGUAGUGGGGUGCUUGGACAGGACAUUGUGUCCUUUGGAAACCAAAGCGAGCUUGCACCACAGCGAGCUGUAUUUGGAUGUGAAAAUAGGGAAACUGGUGAUCUUUACAGCCAGCAUGCUGAUGGUAUAAUGGGCUUGGGUCGUGGGGAUCUCAGUAUAGUGGAUCAGCUUGUUGAGAAACAUGUAAUUAGUGAUUCCUUCUCCUUGUGUUAUGGAGGGAUG
This 248-nucleotide unclassified non-coding RNA is filed under the name Hevea brasiliensis (rubber tree). Lineage: Eukaryota; Viridiplantae; Streptophyta; Magnoliopsida; Malpighiales; Euphorbiaceae. The record is from RNAcentral.